ACUCCUACGGGAGGCAGCAUUGGGGAAUAUUGGACAAUGGGGGACCGUAGCAUCCAGCCAUGCCGCGUGUGUGAAGAAGGCCUUAUGGUUGUAAAGCACUUUAAGCGAGGAGGAGGCUACUGAGACUAAUACUCUUGGAUAGUGGACGUUACUCGCAGAAUAAGCACCGGCUAACUCUGUGCCAGCAGCCGCGGUAAUACAGAGGGUGCGAGCGUUAAUCGGAUUUACUGGGCGUAAAGCGUGCGUAGGCGGCCAUUUAAGUCAAAUGUGAAAUCCCCGAGCUUAACUUGGGAAUUGCAUUCGAACUGGAUGGCUAGAGUAUGGGAGAGGAUGGUAGAAUUCCAGGUGUAGCGGUGAAAUGCGUAGAGAUCUGGAGGAAUACCGAUGGCGAAGGCAGCCAUCUGGCCUAAUACUGACGCUGAGGUACGAAAGCAUGGGGAGCAAACAGGAUUAGAUACCCGGGUAGGCUCUG
RNAcentral lists this ribosomal RNA (472 nucleotides) under uncultured bacterium. Its description in RNAcentral is "bacterial SSU rRNA". It matches the Rfam family "Bacterial small subunit ribosomal RNA", at positions 335 to 799 of the family's 1533-position model. The record is from RNAcentral.